RNAcentral lists this long non-coding RNA (2492 nucleotides) under Bos indicus x Bos taurus (hybrid cattle). Its description in RNAcentral is "lncRNA (ENSBIXG00005008645.1)". The record is from RNAcentral. Lineage: Eukaryota; Metazoa; Chordata; Mammalia; Artiodactyla; Bovidae.
AUGCCUUGCACGCUGCAGCGUUGUGAUUUUUUAUUACUGCAGGUGCUAAAUAAAUCCUCAGUGACGGAGCCCGGAGCCAAACACAUUUAUCCUUGUCACCUCUCCAAUUCUGUGCAGCUGGAAUGGAGCCCAAGGCGCAGGAGAUGCAAUAAAUCUGCUCUCUGGGCUCCACCCGUUUCUCCACCAAGCAGAUGUGGUCGCCGGGAGCCAAGGCUGGAGGAAUGGACUGAGGCCCUCCACCUCUCCAGCCAAGUGUGACCACAAGCUCAAGACAGCAGUUUUGUUGCUGCCUCCACCCCCUGCAGUGGAUCCCUGGAUUGAGAAGAUCCCCUGGAAAAGAGAAAGACUACCCACUCCAGUAUUCUGGCCUGGAGAAUUCCAUGGACUAUACAGUCCAUGAGGUCACAAAGAGUCGGACAUGACUGAGUGACUUUCACUUCACUUGGGAACCAAUAUUAGCUUUAGAGGCUUCCCUGGUGACUCAGAGGAUAAAGCAUCUGCCUGCAAUGCUAGAGACCUGGGUUCAAUCCCUGGGUUGGGAAGAUCCCCUGGAUAAAGAAAUGGCAACCCACUCCAAUACUCUUGCCUGGAAAAUUCCACGGACGGAGGAGCCUGGUAGGCUAUAGUCCAUGGAGCUGCAAAGAGUCAGACAUGACUGAGUGACUUCAUUUUCCUUUCCCUUCCACUCCCUACUCCUGGCAUUUCAAAGACAGCGCCAACGUUUCCCAUCGGGCCUCUAUUGCAAGGUGUUUCCUGCCUCUCGCCUUAGGCAUAGCACUGUAUGACUUGCUGGUCCUUGAUGUCCCUUCAUAGCACUGGAAACAAGAAUAGGAUCAACAAACCACCUGCUCUACAGUAACCUUUAAAAGGUGGAGGUAGGAAAUGAGAAGUGCACUAAUGUUUGUGCAAGGCCUCCUGAGCACCAAGCACUUUACGUAUUUAUCUUCUUGAUGACACUGGAAGGGAAAUAUUUUUACUCCAUUCUACAGAUGAGGAAAGGUGGAUCUGAAAGGUUAGGUGAUUUGCCCAAGGUCACAUGGCUAGCGAAUGGCAGUCAGAAUUUAAGCCACUUCUCAAAAUUGCCCUCUGCAGCCUCCUCCAUCAGUGCAGUGUCCCAGUCCCUUAGAAGACAAGGUAUAUCACCCCACAAACUGCUUAUUGGUUAAAAGGCAAAAACGGUCACUCUGCAAUAGAGAAGCCUGCCCACGCGUUGAUCAGGUGAACAAAAGGAACCAUAGCAGAUAGACAUCACCCAAAAUGACUUAUGUCACUUGGCAAGGUUACACAACUUGAACCUCAUCACAAGGAAACAUCUGAUGAACCUGAAUUGAGGAACAUCAUAGAAAAUCACUGGCUUCUGUUCUUCAGACAUAUCAAUGUCCACGUCAAAGCUGAGGAAUGGUUCCAGAGUAAAGAAACAAGGGAGAAGACAUCUAAAUGCUGUAGGUGGUGCGGGAUUUGAUUCUGCACUGGGGUGGGGGACAUGUUCUGAAAGUUUGUUGGGCCAGUUGAUAAAACUGAAAUAUGGAGUGUUCAGUUUAGUUCAGUUGCUCAGUCGUGUCCGACUCUUUGCGACCCCAUGAAUCGCAGCACACCAGGCCUCCCUGUCCAUCACCAACUCCGGAGUUCACUCAGACUCAGUCCAUCGAGUCAGUGAUGCCAUCCAGCUAUCUCAUCCUCUGUCAUCCCCUUCUCCUCUUGCCCCCAAUCCCUCCCAGCAUCAGAGUCUUUUCCAAUGAGUCAACUAUUUGCAUGAGGUGGCCAAAGUAUAUGGAGUGUAGAAGAGAAAAAAAUUACUGUAACAGUGUUAGAUUUCUUGAGUUUGAUUGCCGUACAGUGGCUCUGUAAGAGAAUAUCCUGUUCUUAGGAAAUACACACUGAGAUAUUAAGAGAUAAAGGGCACGAUGCCUCUCAAAUGGUUCAGAAAAAAGUAAAUAUUGCCACAAUGCUUUUGAAUUGUGGUGCUGGAGAAGACUCUUGAGAGUUCCUUGGAUUGCAAAGAGAUCUAACCAGUCAAUCCUAGAGGAAAUCAACCCUGAAUAUUCAAGGAAGGACUGAUGUGGAAGCUCCAAGACUUUGGCCACCUGAUGUGAAGAGCUGACUCAUUGGAAAAGACCCUGAUGCUGGGAAAGAUUGAAGGCAAAAGGAGAAGGAAGCGGCAGAGGAUGAGAUGGCUAGAUGGCACGCAAAGGACAUGAAUUUUAGCAAACUCCCCAGAGAUAGAGGACAGAGGAGCCUGGUGUCUACAGUCCAUGGGGGUCACAAAGAGUUAGACACAACUUAGUGACUGAACAACAGUAUUUCUUAUGGUAGCCAGCAGAGAGCUAAGCCUAUAUAGUAGAGAACGAAUUUUGAAUCUUUGGUUUUAUUUGAUUAAAUAAUUCUACAGUCCCCUGACAUCAAGGAAAAUAUUUUGCAGUGUGGCGUUCUUAGUUGCUAAUACUUCUGCUUAAUUUCAGAGGUGACACAAAUAAAAUUCUGAUCCUUCACCA